This 1399-nucleotide ribosomal RNA is filed under the name metagenome. Its description in RNAcentral is "bacterial LSU rRNA". It matches the Rfam family "Bacterial large subunit ribosomal RNA", at positions 1548 to 2925 of the family's 2925-position model. The record is from RNAcentral.
UUCUAAGGCUGAGAACUGAUGACGAGCUCUUUUUUAAAGAGUGAAGUGGUUGAUACUAUGCUUCCAAAAAGCCUCUAAGCUUCAGGUAUAAAGGAACCGUACCCCAAACCGACACAGGUGGUCGGGUAGAGAAUACUAAGGCGCUUGAGAGAACUCUGGUGAAGGAACUAGGCAAAUUGGUACCGUAACUUCGGGAGAAGGUACGCCGAUGUUGGUGAUGAGAUUUACUCUUUAAGCUGAUAUCGGUCGAAGAUACCAGGUGGCUGCAACUGUUUAUUAAAACCACAGCACUCUGCAAACACGUAAGUGGACGUAUAGGGUGUGACGCCUGCCCGGUGCCGGAAGGUUAAUUGAUGGGGUUAGCGCAAGCGAAGCUCUUGAUCGAAGCCCCGGUAAACGGCGGCCGUAACAAUAACGGUCCUAAGGUAGCGAAAUUCCUUGUCGGGUAAGUUCCGACCUGCACGAAUGGCGUAAUGAUGGCCACACUGUCUCCACCAGAGGCUCAGUGAAAUUGAAAUCGCGGUUAAGAUGCCGUGUACCCGCGGCUAGACGGAAAGACCCCGUGAACCUUUACUAUAGCUUCACAGUGGACUUUGAUAUUACUUGUGUAGGAUAGCUGGGAGGCAUUGAAGCAGAGACGCCAGUUUCUGUGGAGCCAUCCGUGAAAUACCAGCCUGGUAAUCUUGAGGUUCUAACGCAGGUCCAUUAUCUGGAUCGCGGACAUUGUGUGGUGGGUAGUUUGACUGGGGCGGUCUCCUCCUAAAGAGUAACGGAGGAGCACGAAGGUGUGCUAAUCACGGUCGGACAUCGUGAGGUUAGUGUAAAGGCAUAAGCACGCUUGACUGCGAGACUGACAAGUCGAGCAGGUACGAAAGUAGGUCUUAGUGAUCCGGUGGUUCUGUAUGGAAGGGCCAUCGCUCAACGGAUAAAAGGUACUCCGGGGAUAACAGGCUGAUUCCGCCCAAGAGUUCACAUCGACGGCGGAGUUUGGCACCUCGAUGUCGGCUCAUCACAUCCUGGGGCUGAAGCCGGUCCCAAGGGUAUGGCUGUUCGCCAUUUAAAGUGGUACGCGAGCUGGGUUUAGAACGUCGUGAGACAGUUCGGUCCCUAUCUGCCGUGGGCGUUGGAGAUUUGAGGAAAGCUGCUCCUAGUACGAGAGGACCGGGGUGGACGAACCUCUGGUGUUCCGGUUGUCACGCCAGUGGCAUUGCCGGGUAGCUAUGUUCGGACAGGAUAACCGCUGAAAGCAUCUAAGCGGGAAGCCCCUUCCAAGAUGAGAUCUCCCUGGGACUUUAAGUCCCCUAAAGAGCCGUUGAAGACUACAACGUUGAUAGGUUGGGUGUGUAAGCACUGUAAGGUGUUGAGCUAACCAAUACUAAUUGCUCGUGAGGCUUGACCA